GACGAACGCUGGCGGCGUGCUUAACACAUGCAAGUCGAGCGGAAAGGCCCUUCGGGGUACUCGAGCGGCGAACGGGUGAGUAACACGUGAGUAACCUGCCCUGGACUUUGGGAUAACCCUCGGAAACGGGGGCUAAUACCGAAUACGACACGUGACUGCAUGGUCUACGUGUGGAAAGUUUUUCGGUCUGGGAUGGGCUCGCGGCCUAUCAGCUUGUUGGUGGGGUGAUGGCCUACCAAGGCGACGACGGGUAGCCGGCCUGAGAGGGCGACCGGCCACACUGGGACUGAGACACGGCCCAGACUCCUACGGGAGGCAGCAGUGGGGAAUAUUGCACAAUGGGCGGAAGCCUGAUGCAGCGACGCCGCGUGAGGGAUGACGGCCUUCGGGUUGUAAACCUCUUUCAGCAGGGACGAAGCGAGAGUGACGGUACCUGCAGAAGAAGCGCCGGCCAACUACGUGCCAGCAGCCGCAGUAAAAC
RNAcentral lists this ribosomal RNA (481 nucleotides) under uncultured bacterium. RNAcentral's name for it is "bacterial SSU rRNA". It matches the Rfam family "Bacterial small subunit ribosomal RNA", at positions 28 to 526 of the family's 1533-position model. The record is from RNAcentral.